Molecule: long non-coding RNA, 2530 nt
Organism: Monomorium pharaonis (pharaoh ant)
Lineage: Eukaryota; Metazoa; Arthropoda; Insecta; Hymenoptera; Formicidae
Exons: 2
Source: RefSeq, a predicted model, not a curated record
AAUAAAAGUUAUUUUGUUAUAUUAAUAACUUGCUUCCAAUAGAAAGGGCUUUCGGAUACAUGCCGCAUUCUGCUACAGCGUUGCGCCGACGUUUCGCAAACGUUACAGUUUGCAUCAUCAGAGCUAGGAGCUCCGAUAUGCUUCGAUUUGCUCCGAUACCGAGUUCUCUUGAAUCGUAACCGUCCUUAUAUACCCUUUGUCCUGGUAAUAGCGAUAGAAGUGAGGGGAGGGGACGGAUUUAUUCGUUCAAUAGUAGCACAGUUCAUUAGCCUACCAUUGGUCAACUGUUGGCCAAUUUUAAUACAAUAUUGGCUUACUAUUUGCCAAUUAAUAUGUUUGGAAAUGUUUUUAAUUGAUUAAUUAAAAAACUGGGAAGAUAGUGUACUAAAUCGGGCUUAUUUGAUAACCUUUAUCACGAUUAAGGAAAAUAUUCUUUUGUGGUUUGAAGAUCACUUUUAUGUUGUGUCUACACAAAAUUUUGCUAAUGCGUUCUGUCGUACCUUGAAGAUACGGAAGGAAAGUCAUCUUGUUCUCUUCUCUUUCUUUUUCUUCCUCUUCAUUCGGCGUCCCGAUGUUGUUAAUACUGGAAAUUUUGUUCUUCAAUCUUUGAACUGUUUGACUGAUGUUUCUACUACUAUAUCCAUUUUUUGUUAGAAAUUGAUUGAGAUGUUCUAAUUUCCCAUUCAAAGAGGUUGGUUCAGAAAUUUUAAGGGCUCUGGGUGCUGUCCCAUGAGCCUCGGAAAACGGAAUCGGAAAGGCGGAAUGGAGUGAUUAACCAAUUGUAAGUUUUCUGUUCUGAUUUUUAACAGUGUGGAGUGAUUUUUGACGGAAGGCUAUGAAAAAUUGGAACACGGAACUUGAACCUGAGCUUACAUAAUUUUGCGUAACAAUUGAUAAGAUGAUUACUAUUCCCUUCUUUUGGUCAAAGUAUAAAUAUGUAUUUUGUUAUGUUUUCUAAAUCAGCGUCGUUGUCAUUAAAGAAAACAUUUGAACUAGAAGUAGAAAGAACAGGGUUAUUGUAUGUUACACCAGCUGUUUCUUUUCGAUUUGAUAACUUUAUAAAUGUGAAUGUUCUGAAACAAGAAAAUAAAUAAAUUAUUAUUAUUUUGAAAUAAAAUUUAACACAAUGUGACUUACUCUAUACAUUUUAAUGUGUUAUUAAGGAAUGUCAUCGUGUCAUAAUAACGAAAAGAUGGUUUGCUUAUGGGAGUUCCGGCAGCACCACUUCUUUUUUCUGAGGAUUCUGCCUCUGACUACCAAACGUUACACUAGUCUUUAGCACUUUGUCAAAUAGUGUGUUGUUGCUCCUUUUAAUAUUGUGUUUUUAAAAUCUGUGAUCAACAUAUAUAAGUUUACAGUUUUCUACAAUACGCAUAUCAGUUUAUGUUAUUCAUAACACAUUUUCCAUCGCUUUUGAUCUUAUAGAUUUAUUUUAAGAUGAAAACCGACUUACGAAAAAAUUUCAUUAUUUUUUAUUUUAUUCAUUUAAUUGUAUUAUUUAUUGGUUCACGUUUUUACUUAUUAUGACACAUUUAAUACGAAAUGCACUGUUUUAUGGUCAUCUUUUUUAAUUGUUUAAUUAUAUUUUUGUGUCCAUUAUUUUAUUUAUGUUUAAGUUCACACAUAUUGGUAAUUUAUUAUGACUGAAGAAGACUAAGUAUAGUCGAAACGUUUCGAAAUUGAACAUUUUUCAACAUAGUGUUAUUAGUCGCGUUUAUAAUUAUAUGAUGUUUAUUUAAUAAAUUAUAAUGUAUUAGGAAAAUUUGUCUUGGUUUGAUAUAUUGACCUAUUUAUCGUAUUAUUUUUUCUUUUUUCUGUGUUUAAUAGUUUCUUAAAAUUUUUUCUGGCUUUUAAAUAGCAAUUUCUCAAGUAUUGCCAUCUUUUUUCAGCUUCAAGAGGUUAAUAUACUCCUAAAAUAAAUACUUUUUUAAAGAAACAUGCUUGCAAAUAUAAAAUAGUAGUAACGUAAAAUUACAAAUUUACCUUCUAAACAAUUACUGAUUUCUUGCCAAAGAUUUUUUCUUUUUAAUUUUGUUUUUUCAGAACAUGGUGUGCGAUAAUCAUGUAAGGCCGGACGUUGUUGCACCAAACUUAUAAGUUCCUCAUUUAGUUGUACUACAGUUAGAUCUUUUGUUAAAUUUGAAGGAUCUAACAAAGCCGUUUCACUGUGUUCAAAUUUUUUGAACUUUUAUCUAAAAAAUAAGAGUAAAAACUCAUUACUGCAACCAAAAUUUUGUAUUACUUACAUAGCAUAAAAGUAGUAUAUAACAUAAAGAAUUUUUUAAUGCAAUUUUGAAAUAAAUUUAUUUUAUUAUUAUAUAAGCAAUAUUAAAUUUAAGUCGAAAUACAAGCAAACGAAUUAUAAUUGUUUGCUCGUUUUUUGACCUAAAUUUAAUAUUUUAUUGUUUAGCAUAACUGAGCAAUAAUUGUAAUUCUUUUAAAUUUUAUUUUAUUAUCUUUCAAAGUUUCUUCAUCAGACAAAAAAUUACUCAAGUUUUAAAUUAAAUUUCAAAACAGUACUGAAAAAAAA